Molecule: microRNA precursor, 78 nt
Filed under: Trichobilharzia regenti
Lineage: Eukaryota; Metazoa; Platyhelminthes; Trematoda; Strigeidida; Schistosomatidae
Description: mir-3492 microRNA precursor family
Rfam family: mir-3492 microRNA precursor family
Source: Rfam by way of RNAcentral
AACCUUUUUUAUUUCUGCUAAGAUUUCGUCAGCAAUCAGUCCGUUGGGUUUGAUGCAACUUCCCAAAUAAGUGAAGUG